CUUUCUUUACCCAGCCUGGGACACUACAAGAAAGACAUUGAGGCCCUGGAGCGUAUGCCGAGAAGGGCAAUGAAGCUGUGAAGGGUCUUAAGCACAAGCCUUACGAGGAGUGGCUGAGGGAACUGGGAUUAUUCAGCCUGGAGAAAAGGAGGCUCACGGGAGACCUUAUCACUCUUUACAACUGCCUGAAAAGAGGUUGUGGCGAGGUGGGGGUCGGCCUCUUCUCCCAGGGAACAGCAAUAGGAUGAGAGGAAAAGCAUCCGUCAGACUUUGUGCCUGAUUUGACACCACAGAAUGCAGCUAAAAGCCAUGAACCCACCGCUGCUCAGCCUUCCUGCUGCACCCGCCUGGGCAGGCUGUGCUACAGCUGGGAGAACUGCCCUUCCUUGGGGUGCUGGUGGCAGAGUGGACCCCUGCUCCAGCUGCUCUGCUGGUGCUUUGCUCCAGCUCCUCAUCCAACCCCAGUGGCAGCAAUUCCAAUGCUGGAAGGUGGCCAGCAGCAUGGGCCAGCCUCCUGGUUGCUCAGCACACACCACUGAGAGCCCUUGGCACACGGUAUCACACACACACACACACACGCACACACACACCCUCCAACGCAUCCAUCCCUUCCCUGUGCGUUGCCCCUGCUCUUGGAGCCUGCAACAUGAGGGCCCAUUGCAGCGCACGGCGGCAGCGGAGCCAGCACGUUUUCUUUCCCAGAACCUCGUAAUGAAUGUGUUUUGCAAAAAUAAAUAAAGAAAUAAAGGAGCGAAGGAAAAUG
Gallus gallus (chicken) is the source of this 763-nucleotide long non-coding RNA. Lineage: Eukaryota; Metazoa; Chordata; Aves; Galliformes; Phasianidae. The record is from Ensembl.